This is a non-coding RNA of Podarcis muralis (Common wall lizard), 68 nucleotides long. The record is from the annotation of a RefSeq genome assembly. NCBI's taxonomy places the organism in Eukaryota, Metazoa, Chordata, Lepidosauria, Squamata, Lacertidae.
ACUUUUUUAAUAUAGCUAAUAUAGAUGACUUCCAAUCAUCCAACCCUAGUAAAACCUAGGAAAAAGUA